AAGAAUUGCCCCGUCUUCUCGAAGAUGGGUUCUAUUCCAAACCGUGCUUACAUACCUUUGUUGCUUUGGCGGGCCGCCGUUUCGGCGUUGGCUCCGGCUGACUGCGCCCGCCAGAGGACCACAACUCUGAAUGUUAGUGUCGUCUGAGUACUAUACAAUAGUUA
This 164-nucleotide unclassified non-coding RNA is filed under the name uncultured Meliniomyces. RNAcentral's name for it is "sequence contains ITS1". Lineage: Eukaryota; Fungi; Ascomycota; Leotiomycetes; Helotiales; Helotiaceae. The record is from RNAcentral.